AAACCACCCGGGAUUGCCUUAGUAGCGGCGAGUAAAGCGGCGAAAGCUCAAAUUUGAAAUCUGGCUCUAUUUUGGGGUCCGAGUUGUAAUUUGAAGAAGCGACUUUGGACCUGGCUCUUGUCUAUGUUCCUUGGAACAGGACGUCACAGAGGGUGAGAAUCCCGUGCGAUGAGAAGCCCAGGUUCGUGUAAAGCGUUUUCGACGAGUCGAGUUGUUUGGGAAUGCAGCUCUAAGUGGGUGGUAAAUUCCAUCUAAAGCUAAAUAUUGGCGAGAGACCGAUAGCGAACAAGUACAGUGAUGGAAAGAUGAAAAGAACUUUGAAAAGAGAGUGAAAAAGUACGUGAAAUUGUUGAAAGGGAAGGGCUUGAGAUCAGACUUUGUUUUUCCAUGGCGCUCUUUCGGGGGUGUCCUCUGGGUCUACAGGGCCAGCAUGGGUUUUGCGGGCGAGACAAGGACUCAGGAAUGUGGCUCUGCUUCGGUGGAGUGUUAUAGCCUGGGGUACUGGUCGCCAUGCGGGACCGAGGACUACGGUACUAGGAUGCUGGCGUAAU
This 551-nucleotide ribosomal RNA is filed under the name Suhomyces sp. Its description in RNAcentral is "LSU rRNA". It matches the Rfam family "Eukaryotic large subunit ribosomal RNA", at positions 62 to 635 of the family's 3401-position model. Lineage: Eukaryota; Fungi; Ascomycota; Pichiomycetes; Serinales; Debaryomycetaceae. The record is from RNAcentral.